RNAcentral lists this ribosomal RNA (420 nucleotides) under uncultured fungus. Its description in RNAcentral is "eukaryotic LSU rRNA". It matches the Rfam family "Eukaryotic large subunit ribosomal RNA", at positions 1 to 422 of the family's 3401-position model. Lineage: Eukaryota; Fungi. The record is from RNAcentral.
GACCUCGGAUCAGGUAGGGAUACCCGCUGAACUUAAGCAUAUCAAUAAGCGGAGGAAAAGAAACCAACAGGGAUUGCCUUAGUAACGGCGAGUGAAGCGGCAACAGCUCAAAUUUGAAAUCUGGCCUCAUGGUCCGAAUUGUAAUUUGUAGAGGAUGCUUCGAGCAUGGUCUGGUCUAAGUUCCUUGGAACAGGACGUCAUAGAGGGUGAGAAUCCCGUAUGCGACUAGGUGCCUAAGCUCAUGUGAAGCUCCUUCGACGAGUCGAGUUGUUUGGGAAUGCAGCUCAAAAUGGGUGGUAAAUUUCAUCUAAAGCUAAAUACUGGCCAGAGACCGAUAGCGCACAAGUAGAGUGAUCGAAAGAUGAAAAGCACUUUGGAAAGAGAGUUAAACAGUACGUGAAAUUGUUGAAAGGGAAGCGC